AUCCAGCUGAGGAGUUCCAAAUAGGACGAAACGCGCGUCCUAAAC
This 45-nucleotide non-coding RNA is filed under the name Schistosoma curassoni. Lineage: Eukaryota; Metazoa; Platyhelminthes; Trematoda; Strigeidida; Schistosomatidae. The record is from RNAcentral.